GGGAGAGACAAAGUACCGUUGCUCGUAAGUCGCGCGCCGUCCCCGGCCCUUGGCUACGGCGGCCCCAAACGCUCCGAGACAGGUACUCACACUGUACUUCGAGGUACCGCUGCGUCUGCAAGUUUCCGGGGACGGCGGGGUGCUCCACCUGGCAGAUCACCGGCACCCCGUCAUCCUCCUUGUGAACCUUCAGCAUCAGCUGGCUCGUCACAGUGUACAUGUCUGACCACUCCUCCACCUCCGACUUGCCUGGGGGACGCAGAAAACACCAAGAAAUCAGUCCCGAGAGUAUGCAAGUUACAUUUCAACCCUGCAUGAUAUAUACUAUUUUUAUUUAAAUAGAUGACAUAUGUGUCGUCUAGCUUGAUACCUCCCACAAAAAGGCAGCCGAAAGUUGAACCACGGUGCCGUCUGACUGCCGACGUUGGUCUGGAGGAGGAAGAGAGAAGCGCUUUCCACCCCUACGACCAUGUGAACUUGAAACUGAAGGCUGUCAUGCAGUUCCAAACUUCCAGGACAUCAUCCAAAUCCCCCGAAGUAAUCCAGUCAGGAGCAGAGAUAUAAGCAACCCCCGUGCCCACCCCCAUCCGCAACAAUCGCGUCGGAGAGUGACUACAUGGAUUUACAUAAUGGAAAUUGUAACUGAAAUGUUUAAACGCUGAGACUCUGGAAGACCACAGAAAACGCAGCGGCUGUGGGUAGCAAAGUAAGACACAGGCUUCGGGCCAGAUGGGAGACACGUCCAAGAACACCCAGAGAAGGAGGGAGGAGGCUUCCGGAUGGGAUGAAUAAGCCAAGGUGGCCCCUUUCCUGACCUCCGCACUCCCCGGGACACGGCGCGCCAUUAACUUUCUUUUAAUGUUUUGUACUUAGGGUACACAUUUAAUGGCUCAAUUCACUUAGAAAAGCAGAGGGGAAAUGAGAAACUCCUUCCUUCCAAAACCAUACCUAGGAAAUAGGAGAUUAAAACAGAGCAAGCUUUUUGAAACUUAA
Suricata suricatta (meerkat) is the source of this 993-nucleotide long non-coding RNA. RefSeq lists it as uncharacterized. Lineage: Eukaryota; Metazoa; Chordata; Mammalia; Carnivora; Herpestidae. The record is from RefSeq and is a predicted model, not a curated record. The transcript has 2 exons.